GACGAACGCUGGCGGCGUGCUUAACACAUGCAAGUCGAACGGAAAGGCCCCUUUGGGGGUACUCGAGUGGCGAACGGGUGAGUAACACGUGAGUAACCUGCCCUUGACUUCGGGAUAACUUCAGGAAACUGGGGCUAAUACCGGAUAGGAAUCCUUGCUGCAUGGUGGGGGUUGGAAAGCUUCGGCGGUUUUGGAUGGACUCGCGGCUUAUCAGCUUGUUGGUGGGGUAGAGGCUUACCAAGGCUUUGACGGGUAGCCGGCCUGAGAGGGCGACCGGCCACAUUGGGACUGAGAUACGGCCCAGACUCCGACGGGAGGCAGCAGUGGGGAAGAUUGCACAAUGGGCGGAAGCCUGAUGCAGCAACGCCGCGUGCGGGAUGACGGCCUUCGGGUUGUAAACCGCUUUCAGCAGGGGCGAAGCUUGUGGUGACGGUACCUGCAGAAGAAGCACCGGCUAACUACGUG
Molecule: ribosomal RNA, 465 nt
Filed under: uncultured bacterium
Lineage: Bacteria
Description: partial 16S ribosomal RNA
Rfam family: Bacterial small subunit ribosomal RNA
Source: RNAcentral